UGGGGAAUAUUGGACAAUGGGCGCAAGCCUGAUCCAGCCAUGCCGCGUGAGUGAUGAAGGCCCUAGGGUUGUAAAGCUCUUUUGUGCGGGAAGAUAAUGACGGUACCGCAAGAAUAAGCCCCGGCUAACUUCGUGCCAGCAGCCGCGGUAAUACGAAGGGGGCUAGCGUUGCUCGGAAUCACUGGGCGUAAAGGGUGCGUAGGCGGGUCUUUAAGUCAGGGGUGAAAUCCUGGAGCUCAACUCCAGAACUGCCUUUGAUACUGAAGAUCUUGAGUUCGGGAGAGGUGAGUGGAACUGCGAGUGUAGAGGUGAAAUUCGUAGAUAUUCGCAAGAACACCAGUGGCGAAGGCGGCUCACUGGCCCGAUACUGACGCUGAGGCACGAAAGCGUGGGGAGCAAACAGGAUUAGAUACCCGAGUAGUCCCUGAGCGGGCUGGCAAGGCGCAU
RNAcentral lists this ribosomal RNA (447 nucleotides) under uncultured bacterium. RNAcentral's name for it is "bacterial SSU rRNA". It matches the Rfam family "Bacterial small subunit ribosomal RNA", at positions 355 to 825 of the family's 1533-position model. The record is from RNAcentral.